Dicentrarchus labrax (European seabass) is the source of this 1041-nucleotide long non-coding RNA. RefSeq lists it as uncharacterized. Lineage: Eukaryota; Metazoa; Chordata; Actinopteri; Moronidae. The record is from RefSeq and is a predicted model, not a curated record. The transcript is spliced from 2 exons.
GUGGGCGAGCCGCGACCACCCCAACCAAUGAGGGGACGUUUAAGCGGCACGAAGGGGCUGAGCCUGGGGAAGGGCGCGCGUAGUGCUGCGUGAAUCAGUGCGUGGUGUCUGCAGCACUGCGCACGAGACCGCGCACUUUUCCCGAACCGGUUCAGACCAGACGGUGCGAGGAGGUUUGGAAAACCGACAACGCUGUCUCCAUGCUGGAGUGGCAGGAGAUGAAACAAGGUCAUCACUAAACCAAAGACACUACCCAUCAUUUCCCUCUCAUCCCUUCUGUAUCCAGCUCUAAAGUUUGAGGCUUUCAUUACUAUUACUAUUAUUAUUAUUAAAUAACUUUCUAUUUAGACAAUGGCUACUGUAGAGUAGUGCCACCCAGGGGCGGUCGAGCUGAGCAGAGGGAGAACACUUCCAUGUGAUAAUGUCUGCCUCCUUUAGCAUCCUCUGAGCUGUGAGCUCAGCACACUGCAACGUCGGCGAGCCAACAGGAUCAAACCGGGCAGAGCCAGUCGAGCUGCCCAAUCAUCACAGAGUAGGGGGGAAGGCGCCGAAGUAGACACAUUCCUCUUCAUGAACGUCGCACAGUCAACAACACACAGACGUUUUCUGCUGCAACACCAAAAACAAAUCUCCCUUCUUAUUUGUCAUGUUCACCGCAUAAACACAAACCACAUAUGUUUUACUGUGAAGCUGCUGUAACCCUUGUUACACUGUAGGGAUGUAUGUUUUACAAGCGCUGGAAAAUCCUUGACACAGACGUGGCUCCCUGCAGGACUGUUAAAGUAAUGGUUUUCCUUUUGAGAUGUAGUGUGAAAAUGAAGUAGAAGUGGCCUCUUAAAGCCUUGACUUCAUUUAGGCCUGCUGUAUAAAAGCCCAUCAGUGUUUGCAUAGACAAUCAGCACAGAAGAUUGAACUAAUAGCUGUUCACUUUUUGUCAUCAAGAGGUGAACAAACAUUUCAUUGUUGUUGGCUGUGAGGUUAUUUUAGGCUCCAGGGGUUGCAUUUAGCAAGGAGGAGCUAUUAAACGACUUAAAAGACAAA